CCCGUGCUUGGUCUUAAACAUGCUCCCUUCCCUUCUGAUCUUCUGGAUUCUACUGAUACAAGAUUGAUGUUGACAUCCAGUAGUCUCUGGCCCUUGGUCUCCUACAAACACUUGGGCAAAAUGUCAGAGCCUCUCCAGGAGGAUUAUUGCAAAGUGUUUGAAUAUUUUCCAUGGCAACUUAUGGAUACAAGAAAUCAUGAAAGAAGUUACCAAAAGGGCAGGACUUCAAGUUGGCAUGUGCUGAGACACCCACACGACGAAGCCCAGGGGAUGCUGGGCAGCCAAAGCUUGGAAUCAUGCAUGGGCCUCACUUGGUGUGUAAGUGUUAGAAAAGGGGAGGUGAGCCAA
Molecule: long non-coding RNA, 348 nt
Organism: Erinaceus europaeus (western European hedgehog)
Lineage: Eukaryota; Metazoa; Chordata; Mammalia; Eulipotyphla; Erinaceidae
Exons: 3
Source: RefSeq, a predicted model, not a curated record